GAUGAAGAACGUAGCGAAAUGCGAUACGUAAUGUGAAUUGCAGAAUUCAGUGAAUCAUCGAAUCUUUGAACGCAUAUUGCGCUCUCUGGUAUUCCGGAGAGCAUGCUUGUUUGAGUAUCAGUAAACACCUCAACUUCCAUAUCUUUUUUGAAAUGGGAGUUGGACUUGAGUGAUCCCAACGCUUUUCCUCACCGAAAAGUGGCGGGUUGCUUGAAAUGCAGGUGCAGCUGAACUUUUCUCUGAGCUAUAAGCAUAUCUAUUUAGUCUGCCUAAAAAACAGAUUAUUACCUUUGCUGCAGCUAACAUAAAGGAGACUAGUUCUUGUGCUGACUGAUGCAGGAUUCACAGAGACAGCUUCGGCUGACUUUGUAAACUCGAUCUCAAAUCAAGUAAGACUACCCGCUGAACUUAAGCAUAUCAAUAAGCGGAGGA
RNAcentral lists this unclassified non-coding RNA (432 nucleotides) under soil metagenome. RNAcentral describes it as "partial contains 5.8S ribosomal RNA, internal transcribed spacer 2, and large subunit ribosomal RNA". The stretch from base 1 to 120 matches the Rfam family "5.8S ribosomal RNA", at positions 35 to 154 of the family's 154-position model. The record is from RNAcentral.